RNAcentral lists this ribosomal RNA (226 nucleotides) under uncultured bacterium. RNAcentral's name for it is "partial 16S ribosomal RNA". It matches the Rfam family "Bacterial small subunit ribosomal RNA", at positions 538 to 763 of the family's 1533-position model. The record is from RNAcentral.
GCGUUAUCCGGAUUUAUUGGGCGUAAAGCGAGCGCAGACGGUUUAUUAAGUCUGAUGUGAAAGCCCGGAGCUCAACUCCGGAAUGGCAUUGGAAACUGGUUAACUUGAGUGCAGUAGAGGUAAGUGGAACUCCAUGUGUAGCGGUGGAAUGCGUAGAUAUAUGGAAGAACACCAGUGGCGAAGGCGGCUUACUGGACUGCAACUGACGUUGAGGCUCGAAAGUGUG